AUGCCACGCUUCCCAACACCUGGCGCGACGGAGAUUAGGCAAUUCCGCCCGAUUACCGUGAUCAAUGUGAUCUCCCGUAUCUUUCCAAAGGGGUACGCCAAUAGAGUGACCCCUUUGGCCAACAGCAUCACCCAGCCGGAUCAGUCGGCCUUCAUCCAGGGCCGGUGCGUCCCUGACGGAGUCCUAGUCUUUCACGAGGUACUCCAUGAGGCCCGCACCAAUCAUCUAAAGGCCGUCUUCCUGAAGAUCGACUUCCAUAAGGCCUAUGACACCGUCAGCUGGCCGUUCCUUCGGGAAGUGUUGAUUAGGAAGGGCUUCGAUGACUGA
This 327-nucleotide ribosomal RNA is filed under the name Triticum aestivum (bread wheat). RNAcentral describes it as "partial small subunit ribosomal RNA". The record is from RNAcentral. Lineage: Eukaryota; Viridiplantae; Streptophyta; Magnoliopsida; Poales; Poaceae.